GUCGUGGGGGUCGCAGGUGCAAACAGCGGCGCCUCCCCUGCUCACAACGGGGAGCCCAUGAGCCCCCCGAGUUCCCCUCUGCCCCCAGAAGUGGCCCCAGACAGUGUGCCAGCCACCAAGGCAGGACCAUGCUGGGAGCUCAGUGUUGCCUCAGGACAGUGACAGGUCCUCCACAUGCCCUGCUGGUGCCCAGGAGCCAGGAUAAGGAGCCCUGCAGCAGCUGGGUGUGUAAAGUGCAGCCACUAUCGGGGAGCUGCAGGCUCGCUUGGCUUCUGCCGGGCUAGUGUGUGGUGAGGGAUGAGGUGAUACUGCCACCUCCUGAGUAGCCUGGCCAGCUUUGGGGUCCUGAGGCUGAACCAGGCCCCACCCCUACCACGUUCAACAGGAGUGACAAGCCCUUCACGUCCAAGAGCAAUGAAUGUGGUUUUCCUCUGAAUUAGGCCCCUGUAAAGCAAUUGUCUUGGGCACAUUGUCAGCUGGAGGUCAGGAAGUUCGGUCCCAGACCCAAACAGCAUCGACCACAAGAGGUGAUCAAAUACACGGGCCCUCCUGAGGAUCAAAUGGGAUGACAAGACAGUCGAAACCUGGCCAUUCACAGGGAGCCCCAGGAAAUUCCUCAAAACCCCUGUGACCAGGGAAAAGCUGAAGAUUCUCCUUGACCAAACUCUAGCCAGGCUCCUCUGAGCCCUCUUCUUGGCAUAGGCCUCAGCCUGAAAUAGUUCCUAACAGCUCAAGGCCACCUCUCUAAGAUUAUCCUCUCUGCCCCUGCCUGCCUGAGGAAACUCCGGGCUGCCAGAGAACUCUCUGUUCCAGCCCCACCUGAGAACGGGGCCACCUCUCAUCUCGGUGGGAGGGUGGGAGCCUAACUUUGAUCAUGCCCCCCUCACACAGCUGGGCUGGUCUCCUUUAUGCUGACCUCUGUUUGUCC
Long non-coding RNA from Heterocephalus glaber (naked mole-rat), 928 nucleotides. NCBI's taxonomy places the organism in Eukaryota, Metazoa, Chordata, Mammalia, Rodentia, Bathyergidae. The record is from Ensembl.